Molecule: ribosomal RNA, 435 nt
Filed under: Acanthamoeba genotype T4
Lineage: Eukaryota; Discosea; Longamoebia; Acanthamoebidae
Description: SSU rRNA
Rfam family: Eukaryotic small subunit ribosomal RNA
Source: RNAcentral
AAAGGGUUAAGCAGCAGAUUCAUUUUCUGCCACCGAAUACAUUAGCAUGGGAUAAUGGAAUAGGACCCUGUCCUCCUAUUUUCAGUUGGUUUUGGCAGCGCGAGGACUAGGGUAAUGAUUAAUAGGGAUAGUUGGGGGCAUUAAUAUUUAAUUGUCAGAGGUGAAAUUCUUGGAUUUAUGAAAGAUUAACUUCUGCGAAAGCAUCUGCCAAGGAUGUUUUCAUUAAUCAAGAACGAAAGUUAGGGGAUCGAAGACGAUCAGAUACCGUCGUAGUCUUAACCAUAAACGAUGCCGACCAGCGAUUAGGAGACGUUGAAUACAAAACACCACCAUCGGCGCGGUCGUCCUUGGCGCGUUCGUGUUCACGCACGGGCGCGCGAGGGCGGUUUAGCCCGGUGGCACCGGUGAAUGACUCCCCUAGACCUUUGGUGAGAA